UGAGGAAUAUUGCACAAUGGGCGAAAGCCUGAUGCAGCGACGCCGCGUGGAGGAUGAAGGUUUUCGAAUUGUAAACUCCUGUUAAGCGAGAAAAAAGACCUGCUAUGAAUAAGAGCGGGGGAUGAUUGUAUCGCUAGAGAAAGCACUGGCUAACCUCGUGCCAGCAGCCGCGGUAAUACGAGGGGUGCAAACGUUAUUCGGAAUCAUUGGGCGUAAAGGGUGCGUAGACGGCAUCUUAAGUCAAUUAUUAAAUCUUUUGGCCUAACCAAAAAUUUGUGAUUGAGACUGGGUUGCUAGAGGGUGGAAGAGAGAAGUGGAAUUCUCGGAGUAGCGGUAAAAUGCGUAGAUCUCGAGAGGAACACCGAUGGCGAAGGCAGCUUCUUGGUCCAUUUCUGACGUUGAAGUACGAAAGCGUGGGGAGCAAACA
This 427-nucleotide ribosomal RNA is filed under the name uncultured bacterium. RNAcentral describes it as "partial 16S ribosomal RNA". It matches the Rfam family "Bacterial small subunit ribosomal RNA", at positions 355 to 774 of the family's 1533-position model. The record is from RNAcentral.